RNAcentral lists this transfer RNA (69 nucleotides) under Tetramorium bicarinatum. RNAcentral describes it as "tRNA-Leu". It matches the Rfam family "tRNA". Rfam says of the family: Transfer RNA (tRNA) molecules are approximately 80 nucleotides in length. Their secondary structure includes four short double-helical elements and three loops (D, anti-codon, and T loops). The record is from RNAcentral. Lineage: Eukaryota; Metazoa; Arthropoda; Insecta; Hymenoptera; Formicidae.
UUUAAUAUGGCAGAAAUAAGUGCAAAGGAUUUAAACUCCUUCAAUAAAGAUUAUAAUCUUUUAUUAAAU